UAUUAUCCGCUCUAUGUAGCGGUAUAUAAGGUUAGCGCGCUGACCGCGUGUUACCCACUUAAUGUGCUUACAUUGGAAGGAAAUU
Non-coding RNA from Tribolium castaneum (red flour beetle), 85 nucleotides. Lineage: Eukaryota; Metazoa; Arthropoda; Insecta; Coleoptera; Tenebrionidae. The record is from RefSeq and is marked provisional.